Molecule: ribosomal RNA, 482 nt
Filed under: uncultured bacterium
Lineage: Bacteria
Description: partial 16S ribosomal RNA
Source: RNAcentral
CACGUAGUUAGCCGUGGCUUAUUCAUCAGGUACCGUCAUAAUCGUCCCUGAUAAAAGAGGUUUACAACCCGAAGGCCUUCAUCCCUCACGCGGCGUUGCUGCUUCAGGCUUGCGCCCAUUGAGCAAAAUUCCCGACUGCUGCCUCCCGUAGGAGUCUGGGCCGUGUCUCAGUCCCAGUCUGGGUGAUCGUCCUCUCAGACCACCUACCGAUCGUCGCCUUGGUGAGCCAUUACCCCCACCAACGAGCUAAUCGGACGCAGGCCCCUCCCGAAGCGCAUUGCUGCUUUGAUCGAUCGAAUGAACAAACGAUCACAUGCGGUAUUAGCCACCCUUUCGGGCAGUUAUUCCCCAUUCGGGGAGUCACCUACGCGUUACUCAGCCGUCCGCCACUAACUUUUCAGAGCAAGCCCUAGAAAACGUCCGUUCGACUUGCAUGUCUAAUGCACGCCGCCAGCGUUUAUCCUGAGCCAGGAUCAAACUCU